GGCCUUGUAGCUCAGCUGGUAGAGCAUCGGACUGAAAAUCCGUGUGUCGGCGGUUCGAGUCCGCCCGAGGCCA
Molecule: transfer RNA, 73 nt
Filed under: Aureispira sp.
Lineage: Bacteria; Pseudomonadati; Bacteroidota; Saprospiria; Saprospirales; Saprospiraceae
Also listed under: 1 other name
Description: tRNA-Phe
Rfam family: tRNA
About the family: Transfer RNA (tRNA) molecules are approximately 80 nucleotides in length. Their secondary structure includes four short double-helical elements and three loops (D, anti-codon, and T loops). Further hydrogen bonds mediate the characteristic L-shaped molecular structure. tRNAs have two regions of fundamental functional importance: the anti-codon, which is responsible for specific mRNA codon recognition, and the 3' end, to which the tRNAs corresponding amino acid is attached (by aminoacyl-tRNA synthetases). tRNAs cope with the degeneracy of the genetic code in two manners: having more than one tRNA (with a specific anti-codon) for a particular amino acid; and 'wobble' base-pairing, i.e. permitting non-standard base-pairing at the 3rd anti-codon position.
Source: RNAcentral